RNAcentral lists this ribosomal RNA (460 nucleotides) under uncultured bacterium. Its description in RNAcentral is "partial 16S ribosomal RNA". It matches the Rfam family "Bacterial small subunit ribosomal RNA", at positions 338 to 795 of the family's 1533-position model. The record is from RNAcentral.
CCUACGGGAGGCAGCAGUGAGGAAUAUUGGUCAAUGGGCGGGAGCCUGAACCAGCCAAGCCGCGUGAGGGAAGAAGGUCCAGCGUAUUGUAAACCUCUUUUGUCCGGGAACAAAGGCGGGGACUAGUCCCCGGAUGAGGGUACCUGAAGAAAAAGCAUCGGCUAACUCCGUGCCAGCAGCCGCGGUAAUACGGAGGAUCCGAGCGUUAUCCGGAUUUAUUGGGUUUAAGGGGGGCGUAGGUGGAUUGUUAAGUCAGUUGUGAAAGUUUGCGGCUAAACGGGAAAAUUGCAGUUGAAACUGGCAGUCUUGAGUACAGUAGCGGUGGGAGGAAUGCGUGGUGUAGCGGUGAAAUGCUUAGAUAUCACGAAGAACUCCGAUUGCGAAGGCAGUUCACGGGACUGCAACUGACACUGAGGCACGAAAGUGUGGGUAUCAAACAGGAUUAGAUACCCCUGUAGUC